RNAcentral lists this ribosomal RNA (269 nucleotides) under uncultured soil bacterium. Its description in RNAcentral is "partial 16S ribosomal RNA". It matches the Rfam family "Bacterial small subunit ribosomal RNA", at positions 26 to 281 of the family's 1533-position model. The record is from RNAcentral.
AGAAUCAACGCUGGCGGCGUGCCUAACACAUGCAAGUCGAACGCGAAAGGGGAGCAAUCCCUGAUUAGAGUGGCAAACGGGUGAGUAACACGUGGGUGACCUGCCUUCGAGUGGGGGAUAACCUUCCGAAAGGAGGGCUAAUACCGCAUGACAUACCGUGUUUGGAUACACGGAUAUCAAAGCCGGGGAUCGCAAGACCUGGCGCUUGGAGAGGGGCCCGCGUCCGAUUAGCUAGUUGGUGAGGUAACGGCUCGACCAAGGCUCCGAUC